This 76-nucleotide transfer RNA is filed under the name Candidatus Acetothermia bacterium. RNAcentral describes it as "tRNA-Val". It matches the Rfam family "tRNA". Rfam says of the family: Transfer RNA (tRNA) molecules are approximately 80 nucleotides in length. Their secondary structure includes four short double-helical elements and three loops (D, anti-codon, and T loops). The record is from RNAcentral. Lineage: Bacteria; Candidatus Bipolaricaulota.
GGGCGGAUAGCUCAGCCGGGAGAGCGCCUGCCUUACACGCAGGAGGUCGCGGGUUCGAGCCCUGCUCCGCCCACCA